Molecule: long non-coding RNA, 256 nt
Filed under: Vigna radiata
Lineage: Eukaryota; Viridiplantae; Streptophyta; Magnoliopsida; Fabales; Fabaceae
Description: long non-coding RNA (VRAD_LNC016568)
Source: RNAcentral
UUCAGUACCAAUUCUAAGCUUAAAUAACUCUAUUUUCAUAUUAUAAAGUUGUUGGAAUUGGUUAUUUGACCUUAAAGCCACUUGUGUGGAUUUUCACAUCUCAAAACCCCAUUUUAAGUUCAAUUUUCUGGUGCAAAUUGGCUACUGUCAAAUCUGUUUUUAACUCCAAAAGUGCAAGAAAAAAAAAUCAGUUUGGAUUGUAGUAAAAGCCAGAAUCUGUAAGAGACAAGGUGUAACAAGUUGAAAUGAAUAUAAG